AACGAACGCUGGCGGCAUGCCUAACACAUGCAAGUCGAACGAAGGCUUCGGCCUUAGUGGCGCACGGGUGAGUAACGCGUGGGAAACUGCCUAUUGGUGGGGAAUAACGACGGGAAACUGUAGCUAAUACCGCAUAAGCCCUGCGGGGGAAAGAUUUAUCGCCGAUAGAUGUGCCCGCGUCCGAUUAGCUAGUUGGUGAGGUAAUGGCUCACCAAGGCGACGAUCGGUAGCUGGUCUGAGAGGAUGAUCAGCCACACUGGGACUGAGACACGGCCCAGACUCCUACGGGAGGCAGCAGUGGGGAAUAUUGGACAAUGGGCGAAAGCCUGAUCCAGCAAUGCCGCGUGAGUGAUGAAGGCCUUAGGGUUGUAAAGCUCUUUCGGGUGGGACGAUGAUGACGGUACCACCAGAAGAAGCCCCGGCUAACUUCGUGCCAGCCGCCGCGGUAA
This 449-nucleotide ribosomal RNA is filed under the name uncultured bacterium. RNAcentral describes it as "partial 16S ribosomal RNA". It matches the Rfam family "Bacterial small subunit ribosomal RNA", at positions 29 to 523 of the family's 1533-position model. The record is from RNAcentral.